GAUGAACGCUCGCGGCAGGCCUAACACAUGCAAGUCGAGGGGUAGAAGGAGCUUGCUCCUUUGAGACCGGCGCACGGGUGCGUAACGCGUAUGCAAUCUACCUUGUACAGGGGAAUAGCCCAGAGAAAUUUGGAUUAAUGCCCCAUAGUAUAUAACCUUCGCAUGUUGGUUAUAUUAAAGUUCCAACGGUACAAGAUGAGCAUGCGUCCCAUUAGUUAGUUGGUAAGGUAACGGCUUACCAAGACGAUGAUGGGUAGGGGUCCUGAGAGGGAGAUCCCCCACACUGGUACUGAGACACGGACCAGACUCCUACGGGAGGCAGCAGUGAGGAAUAUUGGUCAAUGGUCGCAAGACUGAACCAGCCAUGCCGCGUGCAGGAAGACGGUCCUAUGGAUGGUAAACUGCUUUUAUACAGGAAGAAACCCUCCCACGUGUGGGAGCUUGACGGUACUGUAGGAAUAAGGAUCGGCUAACUCCGUG
Molecule: ribosomal RNA, 480 nt
Filed under: uncultured bacterium
Lineage: Bacteria
Description: partial 16S ribosomal RNA
Rfam family: Bacterial small subunit ribosomal RNA
Source: RNAcentral